Molecule: ribosomal RNA, 479 nt
Filed under: uncultured anaerobic ammonium-oxidizing bacterium
Lineage: Bacteria
Description: bacterial SSU rRNA
Rfam family: Bacterial small subunit ribosomal RNA
Source: RNAcentral
UUUCGCAAUGCCCGAAAGGGUGACGAAGCGACGCCGCGUGAGUGAGGAAGGCCUUCGGGUUGUAAAGCUCUGUCAGGAGUUAAGAAAUAUAAGUGUGCUAAUACCACAUUUAUUUGACAAAAGCUCCAAAGGAAGCCACGGCUAACUCUGUGCCAGCAGCCGCGGUAAUACAGGGGUGGCAAGCGUUGUUCGGAAUUAUUGGGCGUAAAGAGCACGUAGGUGGGUUUGUAAGUCAGAUGUGAAAGCCUUCUGUUCAACGGAAGAAUUGCAUCUGAAACUGCGAGUCUUGAGUGUAGGAGGGGAGAAUGGAACUUCUGGUGGAGCGGUGAAAUGCGUAGAUAUCAGAAGGAACGCCGGCGGCGAAAGCGAUUCUCUGGCCUAUUACUGACACUCAGUGUGCGAAAGCUAGGGGAGCAAACGGGAUUAGAUACCCCGGUAGUCCUAGCUGUAAACGAUGGGCACUAAGUAGAGGGGUUUUA